CUUUCAACAUCACUGCACAUGGACCCUGACUGAUUGCUAAGUUCUAACUUUACUAACCUUUACUUUCCUCCGUUAUUAAGAUAUUGGCAUGUUUCAGGUUUCUUUUUUUAGCUCAAAAUGUUUAUUUUUGUUCUGUCAUGCUGAGUGUUGUACCUAAAAUAAGAAUUUUCUCCCACGACGGUGUGCUAUAAAUAUCACCCGCAAGUUUAUCUGAAACGGAAAACAGCCGUUUAGAAUAAUUGCUCAGAUCCUGCCUGUAUACUUCAGUAAUAAACAGGUCUUUCUGAACACAGCCAUGCGGGUGACUCCUUUACACUCGCAGCUUGUUCGGGAACAUAAACAGCGCUUGUUGUUGGCAUUCUCAGCAGCUCAUGCCCUGGGGCUUGCUUCUUGUUGUUGUUUUUUUCCUCAUGUUCUAUUACAGCAGCCGCAUUCUGAACAUUUGAAUCCAGAGUGAGAGAAACAAUAUUAGUCAGAUGAUAAAAAUUCCAGAUCGUAUUUGUGCCAAAAAAAAUGUGCCGCUGUUGCAUAAAAGUGGAAUGCAUGGCACUUGGGCAUCUACUGUCUGAUGAAGAGGGAAAAAAAUACAAAACAUCAUUUGUUUGGAAUUGUAUUGUUUAACUUUUCUUCUGGCCUGGCCUUAUCUGUCCCGAAAUCCCUCGUUCCCCGCCGUCCCGCAGCAGGCGGAAGGAAGUGCUGGAGCUGGCCUUGCGAAGCCCAGCCAAACUGUCUUCUAUUAAUCAUAACAUUGGGAGGCACCGGGGUAAUGGGUCACAUCAGCGAGGAGACACUGCGCUCUUCUUAGAGGCUGACCAUAAAACAUGACAGGAACGAAACUUCAAGAUUGUGUAUUAUAGGACCACUGUAACUCACACUUUUUGAGAAAGUUUGCCUUAUUAGGAACAUCGAAGAAAGAAAGAGAAAGAAAAUUUACAACACUGAUGUUCUUUUUCUUGACAUUUUUGUGGCUGAACUCUAGCUUUAAUUAAUUAAUGCAGCUUGGAGAUGGAUUCUGAUUGGUCAGCAUGAUAAUCUUUGCAUUGCUUGCUUGAACUUGUACAGUGCAAGAUAUUGUAACUAAAAUAUCCUUAAAAAAAUACAAGGUAAUGUUAUAUUUCAUGUCACAUUUCUGGAAGGAGUCUCCGGUGUCAGCACUCAGAUAUGUGACUUCACACUUACUCAAUAACACGAGGGAAAGUCAUGUUUUCUGGAGCCUUUUAGCUCGAUAAAAACGGCGGACAUAAAAUACUACAAAUACACGACUUCCUCAACGAAUUGAUGGCGUUUUGACGAUAUCUGAUAGACAGACGAUCUGCUGUGCUGGAGGAUAUGAUGUUACCAAACAGGAUAAAUUAGGGAGGGUUUCCCCAGUGGAAGAAACAGAGACUUCUGUUUGAGUGAAUCCCAGAUGGUGUGGUGGACUACACGACUAGGCCAGACUUACUUAUUUAUUUAUUUAUUUAUUUUUUAUGACAUGCUGUCUUCAAUUUAGUUUUUUUAUGUAAAAUGCUGGAGUACAGAAGACAGUAAACACGUACUGAUAUGCGAUUACAGGAAACGAAUCGACUCAAGGUUGUAACAGUAACUCUGCAUCAUCUCAAAAACACGCCACUUAUUAGUUUUCCUGUAACCACACACACACAGACACCGUCCCCCCACCACCACCACACACACACACACAAGUUUUCUUUCAUAGAUGACGCUUCAGGUCAGUCACUGAGCUCCAAGGUCAAAGAGUACACUUUACACUGAUUUAAUCUCAUGCUCAGUGUCUGUCACUUCUGUUCAUGCAUGUCGGUGCUAUUUCUGUGGACUACUGAUUGGAAGGUUGUUGGUUCAUAUCCCAGGACCACCAAGCUGCAACUGCUGGUGCUUUGAGAAAGGCUCUUAACUUUUAUCUGCUCAGCUGUAUAAAUGAGAUAAAUGUAAGUGGCCUUGGAUAAGGGUCUCUGUUGAGUGUUGUAAAUGUUGGUGCUUUGGUGAAGAGAGUAAUCGCAUGCUUGACUCUAAUAAACUUCUUCCCCUUAGCUGACUCAGGUGUGUUCGAUCAACACCAGACCUCAACUCAGCAAGAAAGAAGCUCUGAAGAAACACAGCUUGCGAAAUGCCGGAAUGAGAAAAACAAAAAAAACAACUUUUCUAUUUUUAGACUGCUGAGCAAAAAAGACAAGACUUUACAAGAAAGACCAAAACGUAGGCAAUUGGAAACAGUGAGACAAUCCAAGUGCAAAAAAAUAUUCCCCACAAGCUAGUCACUCUGCGUUUGUGAGGAGAUGAAAAACUGUUUCUGUUACAAGAAUAUAUGAGGCAGACGUCCUAAUUACAGCCCAGUUUCAGGAGACAGCUGACUUGCACAACAUGAGCAAGUCAUGAGAUUUUAGUACAUUUACUGAAACAAAGCAUCUUUUAGACCAACAUGAUUUAGGACUAGUCUCAAGCUGCUCUCAUCAUGGACUAAAAGGUUAUGCUUUACAAUCAUCAACUCUUAGAAUGAAUAAAAAACAUAUCUUAGUUUUGUAGUGGUACAGGAAUAAAACACUUUGUACAAACAAUGCGCGGUGGAUUUACGCCUGAAUUCCUGUUUCGCAUGCAGUGAAAUGCUGAUUCCUUGCAUCGCCAUGGCAACACUGGUUGAGAUCUCAAAACUUAGAUGUAAUCAUGCAUAUGUUAACAUCAUCCUGAUCUAAUUUGGUGUGAAUCAGAUGAAUAAAGUCCAUAGAUGCAAUUGUGGAGAUCUUAGUAACACACACCUACAAUUUUUUUUCUACAAUGUUGGUGAAACUGUAUGCCCACAAUUCUGUCACAGUGAUAUCACAAAAAUGUCACAGUGCUUUGUUGAUCCCUGGACCACACCCAGUUACUGUAAAGGGAAAUGGAGGUUAUACAAUAGUUCGCAUCCAGUCCUACUCGCCUCUUCUAGGAGCAGUAGACCUUUCUGCUGUGAUCUGACCAGUGAACUGAUCUGCUAAGACACAGAAUGAGAUGUUGACCAGCAUUUCAGACAGAAACUAAUUUUCCUACUUGCUUAUUACUUGAACUGAUCAGUAAAAAAGUUUACAAUAAAACAUUUCCGACAGCUGUAUACUUGCAUUAGUUUUUUUUUCCCCAUAAAAUGUCUAGUGUGCUGCUUCAGACACUACAAAUACAUAUAUGAAGAGAAGAAGUAGUAUUUUGUGUACUAUAUAACAGUUGUUUGUUUUUUCUAUGCAGCAAUUAUUCAUUCAACCUGAUCAGGGUCAAAGCAGUGGUUAAAUAUUGAGAAACUCUGUAGUUGAGGCUAGUUAUGAAUUGGAGUGUCA
Molecule: long non-coding RNA, 3299 nt
Organism: Hemibagrus wyckioides
Lineage: Eukaryota; Metazoa; Chordata; Actinopteri; Siluriformes; Bagridae
Exons: 3
Source: RefSeq, a predicted model, not a curated record